Molecule: transfer RNA, 69 nt
Filed under: Ommatotriton vittatus (southern banded newt)
Lineage: Eukaryota; Metazoa; Chordata; Amphibia; Caudata; Salamandridae
Description: tRNA-Thr
Rfam family: tRNA
About the family: Transfer RNA (tRNA) molecules are approximately 80 nucleotides in length.
Source: RNAcentral
ACCCAGAUAGUUUAAAUAAAACAUCGGUCUUGUAAGCCGAAGCCGAGGACUCACCCUCCUCUCUGAGUA